This 244-nucleotide ribosomal RNA is filed under the name uncultured bacterium. RNAcentral's name for it is "partial 16S ribosomal RNA". It matches the Rfam family "Bacterial small subunit ribosomal RNA", at positions 89 to 334 of the family's 1533-position model. The record is from RNAcentral.
UGGCGACCGGCGCACGGGUGCGUAACGCGUAUGCAACCUACCUUUAACAGGGGCAUAACACUGAGAAAUUGGUACUAAUACCCCAUAACAUCAGGACCGGCAUCGGUUCUGGUUGAAAACUCCGGUGGUUAUGGAUGGGCAUGCGUUGUAUUAGCUGGUUGGUGAGGUAACGGCUCACCAAGGCAACGAUACAUAGGGGGACUGAGAGGUUAACCCCCCACAUUGGUACUGAGACACGGACCAA